This 3045-nucleotide long non-coding RNA is filed under the name Rattus norvegicus (Norway rat). Its description in RNAcentral is "long non-coding RNA NONRATT028353". The stretch from base 2875 to 2931 matches the Rfam family "tRNA", at positions 8 to 63 of the family's 71-position model. Lineage: Eukaryota; Metazoa; Chordata; Mammalia; Rodentia; Muridae. The record is from RNAcentral.
CUGACAUCAGAGAACACACUUAAAAACUUACCAUGAAGUUAGACUUAAUCUCAGAGAAUUCAGACACAUGCAAGAAACCAUUGAUGUCAGAAAAGUCUCUAGCUCAUCUCCAUGUGUAGACCAAUACAUUUAGGGAAUGUGAAAACUGUGUGCUCAAAUCUUUUGUGACAUCAUGUAGUAUAUACAGGUGAAUUUCCCUUUGAAUAUAAAGAAUACUAGAGCAUUUUUAUAAAAAUCAUAAAGUGCACAUUCAGUGGGCAGGAAAUCUUAUCCAGACUUUUUCAAUAUAUAUGACAUGGAAACUUUCAAUACCUAAGUCAGGUCUCAGUCUGCAGGAAAACUCCUAAGGUAUAGUAGUAUACAGCAAAUGAUUUAGCCAGGUACGGCUUUUCAUCCUGACUCUUGUGGGUGACCUUGGCAAGACUCAUUUGCACCUGAUGUUCAACAGCAUAGCAAGCCAUGAAAUCAAAAGACGGGAAAGCUCAGAUGGUGGUGGUCAGCUUUAAUACGGGUACUCAGGGGGGCAGCAUUGUAGGGAUCAGUAUGAGUUUGUGGCCAACCUCUUUAACAGAGUGUGUUCUGGGCCAGCUUAGGGAUUACAGUGAAAUUCUGUGAUGAAAAAAGUGAGGAAAUGUUAAGUGGCAAUAAAACCCACCAUAAGGGGCUGGGGAUUUAGCUCAGUGGUAGAGCGCUUACCUAGGAAGCGCAAGGCCCUGGGUUCAGUCCCCAGCUCCGAAAAAAAAAAAAAAAAAAGAACCAAAACCCACCAUAAGAGAAUGCAGCGACUUUUUAAAUAGUACUUGAAACUCAGCUGACAUCAGAAACACAACAAAAAUGCAGUAAAGCACAGGAGUGCGAUAUGAGAGAGUACAGGGGCCACACUACAUCGUCAGUAUAAGGACUUCAGUGUUGAGCUGUAGACACACACAGUAGAAACCCCAUCAGUCCACAGGUUAGAAAAGCAGCACUCACACUUUAGCAAGCAUGACAUCAAGUGUGAAGGUUGAGAACACGUUUGGAUUUAGAAACUGAAUUGAGGUUGACUGUGGUUCAGUCACAUGUGCCUGUGAAGCACAUGCAUUUCCUGUUCUUCUGGGUUUGAGACUUCUUACACAUCACCUGGAUUUUCAACACCCAUGCCUAUUUUUGAAAAGUAUAAGCAGUCUGGAAGAAGUUGCAAAAAAUCGAUCAUGCCUUUUUGAGCACUGUCAGUGAAAUCACACCUUGUACAGUGAGACCAGAUCUACAUAUGCAGGCCAGACUGACUUUGAACUCUUAGCAUCGUGGCCAGUUCUCCUAUUCACGGUCAUACUGAUUCAUGCUCUUGAGAUCUUGGAUUAGUGAAAAUUGUCUUCCGUGCAACUCUGUAUAUAUCAGUCUGUGUACGUUGCAUGUUAAUUUCCAGGUGGAAUUGUUUGAGAUGGAAAUGAAGCAUCCCAACUCCAUGAUGCUACCAAAUAAACACAACGAUAUUCCCAGCCACUGGACAGUAAGCUGCUUCUUUGGGCAUUUCUUCUUCUCAUAACUAGUUUGGUAGAAGUUAGUGAACAUAGUAGACAAAACCAGCAAUGCUAAUUAACAUCUCUUCCUACAGAAUUUCUUCUCAUGACAUGGUUUUUUUCUAUAUGUUAUUAUAUGUAUUCAAAUUUUGUCUCCAGAGCACUCAGCCUGACAAUACAGGAAACAUGUAUACUUUGUAUACGAUGUAAUAAUGGAGGAAGGUGGAAGUGGCAUGGUGCAUGCCUUUGUAUGUGUGUAGUUCUGAUUGGAUGUUCAGUAUACGUAAGUGAGAUGCAUAGACUGUAACAGAUAGAUAGAUAGAUAGAUAGAUAGAUAGAUAGAUAGAUAGAUAGAUAGAUAUUGCAACUUAUUCUAUUUAUUAUCUUUCUGUCACUGUAAGUAUCAGACACAAAUGAAGUUUGAAGUAAUUGUGUUGGAUUGUGGUUUCAAAGGAUUUUGUUCAUGGUUACUUUGCCAGAGCAAUAUGAACAGUACUGUGGUGGCAGUAGUUGUGAUAGAAGAGAUUCCGCACAUCAUGUCGGGAAAUGGACCAAAGAAUAGACCAUGUACCUAUUACAUCUUCUAAUGUGUCACCCUGAUUAUAUAAAUUUAACUAGACACUACCUUCCAAAGUUUGUAUCAGUGCUCAUAUUUGAAUUCAAGUUCUGUGGGAGAGAUUUCAUGCAAAAACCAACACACAUGCCAGGCAGUGGUGGCACACACUUUGAACCCCAGUGCUUGGGAGCGAGAGUCUGGGAAUCUGUAAUUUGAGGCCAGCCUGGCUUAUAGAACUAGUUCCAAGACAACCAAGACUACACAAAGAAACCCUGUCAUGAAUUUUUAAAUUAAAAAAAUAAACAAAAUUAAAUAAAACCAAAAUACACUACAAAUAUCAACCUUUAAUAAAAUUUUAUUUAUAAAUUCUUGAAUACGAUGCCUUUAUAACUUAUGUUUUUUCUUUAUUCAUGCAUAUCUAAAUGUACAUGGAUGCACUGUUAGAAACUAUCCCAUAAGUGAGAAUAAGAAUUUAUUACUAAUGUGUUCACAGAACAGAGCUGCUGUGUCCGACUGGAGUUUUGUUUUGUUUUGUUUUGUUUUGUUUUUUUACUGUGAUUGAAAUUUUUUUUCUUUUUUAAGAUCAAACUGAUUGGAGGUCAUACAAUUUUUUUGAAUUAUGGUUCCCUCCCCCCUUCCAGAUUCUUCCACCCUUGCAAAUCCACAUCUUUCCCUGCUCUCUCAUUAGAAAACAAAUAGGCAUCUUUUAAAAAGAACAUUAGAAAAUAAGUUAAAAUAAAAACAAAUAAACCUGAAUAGGACAACACAUGAGCCGAUAAACAAAGAGCCCAAGAAGCACACAGAUGGGGGCUGGAGACAUGGCUCAGUGGUUAGAGCACUGGCUGCCCUUCCAGAGGUCCUGAGUUCAAAUCCCAGCACCCACAUGGUGGCUCACAACCAUCUGUAAUGGGAUCUGAUGCCCUCUUCUGCUGUGUCUGAAGUCAGUGACUGUGUUCUCCCAUACAUGGAAUAAAUAAGUUUUUAAAGAAG